UCCAGCAUUUUGUGUCUGGAAGCCUAUCUGUCCACGUGGUGGUGUGCCAGCAGGCUGGAGGAGCGGGCAAAGGCCUUGCCACAGAGCGGGCAGGUGAAG
Molecule: long non-coding RNA, 99 nt
Organism: Amblyraja radiata (thorny skate)
Lineage: Eukaryota; Metazoa; Chordata; Chondrichthyes; Rajiformes; Rajidae
Exons: 3
Source: RefSeq, a predicted model, not a curated record